Molecule: ribosomal RNA, 478 nt
Filed under: uncultured bacterium
Lineage: Bacteria
Description: bacterial SSU rRNA
Rfam family: Bacterial small subunit ribosomal RNA
Source: RNAcentral
GAGCGAACUUUUGAGAGCUUGCUCUCAAAGUUAGCGGCGGACGGGUGAGUACACGUGGGCACCUGCCUGUAAGACUGGGAUAACUUCGGGAAACCGGAGCUAAUACCAGAUAAUUCUUAUCAACUCAUGUUGAUAAGCUGAAAGACGGUUUCGGCUGUCACUUACAGAUGGGCCCGCGGCGCAUUAGCUAGUUGGUGAGGUAAUGGCUCACCAAGGCAACGAUGCGUGGCCGACCUGAGAGGGUGAUCGGCCACACUGGGACUGAGACACGGCCCAGACUCCUACGGGAGGCAGCAGUAGGGAAUCUUCCGCAAUGGACGAAAGUCUGACGGAGCAACGCCGCGUGAGUGAUGAAGGUUUUCGGAUCGUAAAACUCUGUUGUUAGGGAAGAACAAGUACGAGAGUAACUGCUCGUACCUUGACGGUACCUAACCAGAAAGCCACGGCUAACUACGUGCCAGCAGCCGCGGUAAUACGU